UACAGAGGGUGCAAGCGUUGUUCGGAAUCAUUGGGCGUAAAGGGCGCGUAGGCGGCCUUGCGAGUCGGAUGUGAAAGCCCAGGGCUCAACCUUGGAAGUGCAUCCGAAACUGCAGGGCUCGAAUCUCGGAGAGGGUGGUGGAAUUCCCAGUGUAGAGGUGAAAUUCGUAGAUAUUGGGAGGAACACCGGUGGCGAAGGCGACCACCUGGACGAAGAUUGACGCUGAGGCGCGAAAGCGUGGGGAGCAAACAGG
RNAcentral lists this ribosomal RNA (253 nucleotides) under uncultured bacterium. RNAcentral's name for it is "partial 16S ribosomal RNA". It matches the Rfam family "Bacterial small subunit ribosomal RNA", at positions 524 to 776 of the family's 1533-position model. The record is from RNAcentral.